RNAcentral lists this ribosomal RNA (433 nucleotides) under uncultured bacterium. Its description in RNAcentral is "partial 16S ribosomal RNA". It matches the Rfam family "Bacterial small subunit ribosomal RNA", at positions 29 to 507 of the family's 1533-position model. The record is from RNAcentral.
AACGAACGCUGGCGGCAUGCCUAACACAUGCAAGUCGAACGAGACCUUCGGGUCUAGUGGCGCACGGGUGCGUAACGCGUGGGAACCUGCCCUUAGGUUCGGAAUAACUCCCCGAAAGGGGUGCUAAUACCGGAUAAUGUCUUCGGACCAAAGAUUUAUCGCCUUUGGAUGGGCCCGCGUUGGAUUAGCUAGUUGGUAGGGUAAAAGCCUACCAAGGCGACGAUCCAUAGCUGGUCUGAGAGGAUGAUCAGCCACACUGGGACUGAGACACGGCCCGGACUCUUCCGGGAGGGGGGAGUGGGGGAUAGUGGAAAGGGGGGGAAGGCAUGAACCACCAAGGCGCGGUAAGGUAUGAAGGCUGGGGGGUUGAAAAGUUUUUGUACCAGGGAAGAUAUUGACGGUACCGGAAGAAAAAGCCCCGGCUAACUCCGUG